GGAUACCUGUGGUNAUUCUAGAGCUAAUACAUGCACAAAUCCCCGACUUCGGAAGGGGUGUAUCUAUUAGAUACAGAACCAAUGCCCUCCGGGGCUGCACGGUGAUUCAUGAUAGCUGCACAGAUCGCAUGGCCUUGCGCCGGCGACGGUUCAUUCAAAUUUCUGCCCUAUCAACUUUCGAUGGUAAGGUAGUGGCUUACCAUGGUUUUUACGGGUAACGAGGAAUCAGGGUUCGAUUUCGGAGAGGGAGCCUGAGAAACGGCUACCACAUCCAAGGAAGGCAGCAGGCGCGCAAAUUACCCAAUCCCAACGCGGGGAGGUAGUGACAAUAAAUACUGAUACAGGGCCCUUCAGGGUCUUGUAAUUAGAAUGAGUACAAUUCAAAUCCUUUAACGAGGAACAAUUGGAGGGCAAGUCUGGUGCCAGCAGCCGCGGUAAUUCCAGCUCCAAUAGCGUAUAUUAAAGCUGUUGCAGUUAAAAAGCUCGUAGUUGAAGCUUGGGUCUAGCCGGCCGGUCCGCCUCACCGCGUGCACUGGUUUCGCUGGACCUUUUCUUCUGGCGAACCGCAUGCCCUUUGCUGGGUGUGUUGGGGACCCAGGACGUUUACUUUGAAAAAAUUAGAGUGUUCAAAGCAGGUCUUUGCUCGAAUACGUUAGCAUGGAAUAAUGGAAUAGGACGUGCGGUCCUAUUUUGUUGGUUUCUAGGACCGUCGUAAUGAUUGAUAGGGACAGUCGGGGGCAUUCGUAUUCCAUUGUCAGAGGUGAAAUUCUUAGAUCAAUGGAAGACGCACUACUGCGAAAGCAUUUGCCAAGGAUGUUUUCAUUAAUCAGGAACGAAAGUUAGGGGAUCGAAGACGAUCAGAUACCGUCGUAGUCCUAACUGUAAACUUUGCCGACUAGGGAUCGGGCGGUGUUAUUUUAUUGACUCGCUCGGCACCUUUCGAGAAAUCAAAGUGUUUGGGUUCUGGGGGGAGUAUGGUCGCAAGGCUGAAACUUAAAGAAAUUGACGGAAGGGCACCACCAGGCG
Molecule: ribosomal RNA, 1026 nt
Filed under: Pyrenidium borbonicum
Lineage: Eukaryota; Fungi; Ascomycota; Dothideomycetes; Pyrenidiaceae
Description: SSU rRNA
Rfam family: Eukaryotic small subunit ribosomal RNA
Source: RNAcentral